GCUCCGCGGAAACCAUAGCAACGGGCAGCCGGAAGAUGCGGCCAUUCCUCUCCCUUUUGUCCAUUGCAUUUCAGCAGCGCCCGCGCACAUGGACGCUCCAAUUACAGCUCUAGAGGCUAGAAAUUGGCAGUCAGGAUGUGUGUAAGGCCACGCUCCCUCUGAAGACUCCAGGGGAGGAUCUUUCCUUGCCUCCUCCAGCUUCUGGUGGCUGCCAGCAUCCUUGGCAUUCCUUGGCCUGUGGACACAUCACUCUCAUCUCUGCCCAUGGUCACAACCCCAAGCUCCAGAAUACAGACCAGCAGGCGAGGAGACAAGGAGGCAAGCAGAUGGAUGGUGGAACAAAGUGGCAGAGAAAGAGAGAAGAGGAGAGAUGUCUGGACGCCAAGAGGAGUCUGGCUGGGGCCAGUCAGAGAAGAGUCCAGCGGCUGGGCAGCCCGACUCCAGGGGAAGAUCACCUUCCCACUCCAUCCCCCUUCACGCUCCCCAUCCAUCUCACUAAGAGCCAUCUCUACCACUCAAUAAAACCUUGCAUUCA
Molecule: long non-coding RNA, 535 nt
Filed under: Homo sapiens (human)
Lineage: Eukaryota; Metazoa; Chordata; Mammalia; Primates; Hominidae
Description: non-protein coding LINC02440:11
Source: RNAcentral